GAUGUCGGCUCAUCACAUCCUGGGGCUGUAGUAGGUCCCAAGGGUUGGGCUGUUCGCCCAUUAAAGUGGUACGCGAGCUGGGUUCAGAACGUCGUGAGACAGUUCGGUCCCUAUCCGUCGCAGGCGUAGGAAAUUUGAGAAGACCUGUCCUUAGUACGAGAGGACCGGGAUGGACGUACCUCUGGUGUACCAGUUGUCCUGCCAAGGGCAUGGCUGGGGAGCUAUGUACGGAAUGGAUAAGCGCUGAAAGCAUCUAAGCGCGAAGCCAACUUCAAGAUAAGAUUUCCCACCGCAAGGGUAAGACCCCAGAAAGACUAUCUGGUUGAUAGGUCGAAGGUGUAAGUGCAGCAAUGUAUUUAGCUUAUCGAUACUAAUAGGUCGAGGACUUGACCAAU
This 395-nucleotide ribosomal RNA is filed under the name Clostridioides difficile. RNAcentral's name for it is "partial 23S ribosomal RNA". It matches the Rfam family "Bacterial large subunit ribosomal RNA", at positions 2528 to 2925 of the family's 2925-position model. Lineage: Bacteria; Bacillati; Bacillota; Clostridia; Peptostreptococcales; Peptostreptococcaceae. The record is from RNAcentral.